AGUGAGCGCCUACGGGAAGCAGCAGUGAGGAAUAUUGGUCAAUGGUCGGGAGACUGAACCAGCCAAGCCGCGUGAGGGAUGAAGGUACUAAGUAUUGUAAACCUCUUUUGUCAGGGAACAAAGGCAUCCACGCGUGGGUGAGUGAGUGUACCUGAAGAAAAAGCAUCGGCUAACUCCGUGCC
Molecule: ribosomal RNA, 182 nt
Filed under: uncultured bacterium
Lineage: Bacteria
Description: partial 16S ribosomal RNA
Rfam family: Bacterial small subunit ribosomal RNA
Source: RNAcentral